CCUACGGGAUGCAGCAGUAGGGAAUAUUGCUCAAUGGGGGAAACCCUGAAGCAGCAACGCCGCGUGGAGGAUGAAGGUUUUCGGAUUGUAAACUCCUUUUGUUAGAGAAGAUAAUGACGGUAUCUAACGAAUAAGCACCGGCUAACUCCGUGCCAGCAGCCGCGGUAAUACGGCAGGUGCAAGCGUUACUCGGAAUCACUGGGCGUAAAGAGCGCGUAGGCGGGAUAGCAAGUCAGAUGUGAAAUCCUAGGGCUUAACCAUAGAACUGCAUUUGAAACUGUUAUUCUAGAGUAUGGGAGAGGUAGGUGGAAUUCUUGGUGUAGGGGUGAAAUCCAUAGAGAUCAAGAGGAAUACUCAUUGCGAAGGCGACCUGCUAGAACAUAACUGACGCUGAUGCGCGAAAGCGUGGGUAGCAAACAGGAUUAGAUACCCCUGUAGUC
RNAcentral lists this ribosomal RNA (440 nucleotides) under uncultured bacterium. RNAcentral's name for it is "partial 16S ribosomal RNA". It matches the Rfam family "Bacterial small subunit ribosomal RNA", at positions 338 to 795 of the family's 1533-position model. The record is from RNAcentral.